UAAGGGUGUAUGAUCAUUGCAGAGCCCUAGAGGGCAGGUGUGUGCAGGGGUCUGGACACAGAGAAUGGCCGACACCCUGUUUCCUGGCAACUGAUGGCCUGGGCCCUUCCCCCCCUGCAAGGUGAGAGCUGAAGGGUUGGAGAACAAAGGAAUCAGGUGACCACCUGGCCCAGGAAAGGGACAAAGCCCAG
Molecule: non-coding RNA, 191 nt
Organism: Caretta caretta (loggerhead turtle)
Lineage: Eukaryota; Metazoa; Chordata; Testudines; Cheloniidae
Source: RefSeq, a predicted model, not a curated record